GUGGGGAAUAUUGGGCAAUGGGCGAAAGCCUGACCCAGCAACGCCGCGUGAAGGAAGAAGGUCUUCGGAUCGUAAACUUCUAUCCUUGGUGAAGAUAAUGACGGUAGCCGAGAAGGAAGCCCCGGCUAACUACGUGCCAGCAGCCGCGGUAAUACGUAGGGGGCAAGCGUUGUCCGGUAUGAUCGGGCGUAAAGGGCGCGUAGGCGGCCUGGUAAGUCUGGAGUGAAAGUCCUGCUUUUAAGGUGGGAAUUGCUUUGGGUACUGUCGGGCUUGAGUGCAGGAGAGGUAAGUGGAAUUCCCGGUGUGGCGGUGAAAUGCGUAGAGAUCGGGAGGAACACCAGUGGCGAAGGCGACUUACUGGACUGUAACUGACGCUGAGGCGCGAAAGUGUGGGGAGCAAACAGGAUUAGAAACCCGGGUAGUCC
Molecule: ribosomal RNA, 425 nt
Filed under: uncultured bacterium
Lineage: Bacteria
Description: partial 16S ribosomal RNA
Rfam family: Bacterial small subunit ribosomal RNA
Source: RNAcentral